This 433-nucleotide ribosomal RNA is filed under the name uncultured bacterium. RNAcentral describes it as "partial 16S ribosomal RNA". It matches the Rfam family "Bacterial small subunit ribosomal RNA", at positions 29 to 507 of the family's 1533-position model. The record is from RNAcentral.
AACGAACGCUGGCGGCAUGCCUAACACAUGCAAGUCGAACGAGACCUUCGGGUCUAGUGGCGCACGGGUGCGUAACGCGUGGGAACCUGCCCUUAGGUUCGGAAUAACUCCCCGAAAGGGGUGCUAAUACCGGAUAAUGUCUUAGGACCAAAGAUUUAUCGCCUUUGGAUGGGCCCGCGUUGGAUUAGCUAGUUGGUAGGGUAAAAGCCUACCAAGGGGACGAUCCAUAGCUGGUCUGAGAGGAUGAUCAGCCACACUGGGACUGAGGCACGGCCCAGACUCCUACGGGAGGAAGCAGUGGGGAAUAUUGGACAAUGGGCGAAAGCCUGAUCCAGCAAUGCCGCGUGAGUGAUGAAGGCCUUAGGGUUGUAAAGCUCUUUUACCCGGGAUGAUAAUGACAGUACCGGGAGAAUAAGCUCCGGCUAACUCCGUG